CCUACGGGUGGCAGCAGUGAGGAAUAUUGGUCAAUGGACGAGAGUCUGAACCAGCCAAGCAGCGUGAAGGAUGACUGCCCUAUGGGUUGUAAACUUCUUUUAUAAAGGAAUAAAACGAGGCACGUGUGCCUUUUUGCAUGUACUUUAUGAAUAAGGAACGGCUAACUCCAGGCCAGCAGCCGCGGUAAUACGGAGGAUCCGAGCGUUAUCCGGAUUUAUUGGGUUUAAAGGGAGCGUAGAUGGGUUGUUAAGUCAGUUGUGAAAGUUUGCGUCUCAACCGUAGAAUUGUAAUUGAUAAUGGCAGUCUUGAGUACAGUUGAGGUAGGCGGAAUUCGUGGUGUAGCGGUGAAAUGCUUAGAUAUCACGAAGAACCCCGAUUGCGAAGGCAGCUUACUGAACUGUGACUGACAUUGAUGCUCGAAAGUGUGGGGAUCAAACAGGAUUAGAUACCCGGGUAGUC
RNAcentral lists this ribosomal RNA (460 nucleotides) under uncultured bacterium. RNAcentral describes it as "partial 16S ribosomal RNA". It matches the Rfam family "Bacterial small subunit ribosomal RNA", at positions 338 to 795 of the family's 1533-position model. The record is from RNAcentral.